GAUGAACGCUGGCGGCGUGCCUAAUACAUGCAAGUCGAGCGAACGGACGAGAAGCUUGCUUCUCUGAUGUUAGCGGCGGACGGGUGAGUAACACGUGGAUAACCUACCUAUAAGACUGGGAUAACUUCGGGAAACCGGAGCUAAUACCGGAUAAUCUUUUGAACCGCAUGGUUCAAAAGUGAAAGACGGUCUUGCUGUCACUUCUAGAUGGAUCCGCGCUGCAUUAGCUAGUUGGUAAGGUCACGGCUUACCAAGGCAACGAUGCAUAGCCAACCUGAGAGGGUGGUCGGCCACACUGGAACUGAGACACGGUCCAGACGCCUACGGGAGGCAGCAGUAGGGAAUCUUCCGCAAUGGGCGAAAGCCUGACGGAGCAACGCCGCGUGAGUGAUGAAGGUCUUCGGAGCGUAAAACUCUGUUAUUAGGGAAGAACAUAUGUGUAAGUAACUGUGCACAUCUUGACGGUACCUAAUCAGAAAGCCACGGCUAACUACGUG
Molecule: ribosomal RNA, 497 nt
Filed under: uncultured bacterium
Lineage: Bacteria
Description: partial 16S ribosomal RNA
Rfam family: Bacterial small subunit ribosomal RNA
Source: RNAcentral